This 645-nucleotide long non-coding RNA is filed under the name Gossypium barbadense (sea-island cotton). RNAcentral's name for it is "long non-coding RNA (GBAR_LNC020125)". Lineage: Eukaryota; Viridiplantae; Streptophyta; Magnoliopsida; Malvales; Malvaceae. The record is from RNAcentral.
CCAGGAGCUCCAGAGGCCAGGUUCUGCCCGGCAACCUCAACCCUGUGCUUGUUGCAAGUUGUUCGGAUUUGUGCAAGUAAUGAUUCGGGGCUAGAGAGAGCAUCGUGUGGCUGGUGCUCAUCUGACAGGUCCAUUCCAGGCAAGAUGAUUUUGCAUGAAUUCCUUGCAAACAUCUCUGCAACUGCUUCAUAGCCAUUUCUUGAGGCCGUGUUAUAGAAGCCGGCAGUCAGUUCAGAAGGGUGUGCCCGGGUUUUGUACCACGAGUGCAUCAAUGGGACUUUCCCAUAAACAUUGACUUCAGUAUCACCAAAAAUGGACGAGACAAGAGAGAGGAGACGAUUGCCGUGAGAUACAAGCUCGCUUGAGUACCAGGAAAGGAAGAAGUCACCAUAAGGACUUUCCCACGACCCACCGUGAUCCUUGAAGAAACUAUUUGAGUUCGGUGCCUGAUCAUAAGUAGGGGCAUCAUGUGGACCACCUAGACCCCAUAAUGGGUUUCCAUUUGCUUCAGCAUAUUGCUUAAGAAGGUUAAGCAUGUUUGUGUCAUAACAUUGGAACUCCCCGACUCCAGUAAUCGUGCCACUCUUGGCAGGCUUGUGGUGUGAGGGAUACCGGAGUUCACCAUCUGGUCCAAGACCCAUUGAG